This 1162-nucleotide long non-coding RNA is filed under the name Heterocephalus glaber (naked mole-rat). RNAcentral describes it as "lncRNA (ENSHGLG00000038270.1)". Lineage: Eukaryota; Metazoa; Chordata; Mammalia; Rodentia; Bathyergidae. The record is from RNAcentral.
GUUGUAAGAGGCCCCACAAUAUCUCUAGAGCAAAGGUUAUACCAGCAAAUCAGAGAAAAUGCUGGGCUACCCCUCUGUUACCAUCUGUUACUUGGCACAACAUUUGAUGGGAAAGCCUGACAGCCUGGCUUCUGUGCACAUGAUAUAGGGGGUGGGGGCAAUAGUUAAAGUUCUAUACUUGUCCAUUUGGCAACUCUGUACUGACUAGAGGCUUUUCCUUUUUCCAGUGCUGGACGUUGAACCUGGGGUUUCUUACAUUCUAGGCAAGCACUGUACCACUAACCAACAUCCCAAGUCCAUUUUUAUACAUUUUAAUUUCCUCCCGAGUCUCACCAAACCACCCAGGAUUGCCUCACAUGUGCGAUGCUCCUGCCUGAGCCUCCCCACUAGCUUGGAUUACAGAGUGGAGCACCAUGCUGUGGGGAAGUGUGCUUUUAUAUUUCACAUACAGAGACCUCAUAGACUAAUGGAGCUCCGCUGAUAGUACUGAUGUGGAAUAUACCUAAAUUCCCACACUGAUGCCCACAUUAGAGUGAAAGCAGGUCUUCCCACUCUCCCUAUGGUUACUGACCAUUCUUCUAGCUGCUUAGGAUCAGAAUUUCUCUUUCUUCUUCCAGCCUCACCUGCGCCAGUUUCUGGGCUGAGCUCUGACAUUUUGCCUCUAGUUCCAGGAGGUGGCUCUUGAGUUCAUGGUUCUUCCACUCCAAGUUGGCCUCAUUCUCCCUCAGGCUCAUCAGCAUCUGCUCUUCUUUCUCCAGCCUCCACAGAUAAGAAUCCCUCUCACUGUGCAGAAAAGUGUGGAGAUUCUUAAAUUCAGACUUGAUUUUUCUGUCUCUGAAUCUCUGUCUUAUCCUAGAGUCAAGAAAAUAUGAUCAGAACUACAAACAAACCAAGUCUCUACACCUGCAUGAAUGCAUACACAAAAUUGCUAUACAGAUACCAUGGAGUCUUACCCAGUUGCAAAAAGAAUGGAAAUCUACUCCUUUCUACAAAGGUGAUGCUUACUGGGUGCAUAAUGAGGUUCAGGCAGAUGGAGCAGGUGGCGAUCUCUUUCACCUUGUUGGUGCCAGUAGCUGAAGCCAUGACUUUUCUCAAGAACCUCCACUGCUGAUCUGGACAUGGAGAUGAAGCAGUUAGAAUUUGCACAAGAUACAAGGAGAGC